GUCCCUGAGGUGCAAACCGUUAAGCGCUUGACUACUAACCAAAAGGUUGGUGGUUCGAACCCACCCAGAGGCA
This 73-nucleotide transfer RNA is filed under the name Loxodonta africana (African savanna elephant). It matches the Rfam family "tRNA". Rfam says of the family: Transfer RNA (tRNA) molecules are approximately 80 nucleotides in length. Their secondary structure includes four short double-helical elements and three loops (D, anti-codon, and T loops). Lineage: Eukaryota; Metazoa; Chordata; Mammalia; Proboscidea; Elephantidae. The record is from Rfam by way of RNAcentral.